GGAUGUAAGGGCGAUCUGGCUGGGACAUCUGUCACCCCACUGAUUGCCAGGAUUGACUUGGCUGAUCUGGCUAGCUAGGUGGGCACCCCCUUUCUCCCUCACUGCUCUCUGUGUGUUUCUCUGGAAGCUGCAUGCUCAGUGGAAGAGAAUGACCAUUCCUGCUAGUGGAGGACCGUUCUUCGGUCAAGGAUCUACAAGUCGCUGCACCCCUCUGACAGACCCUCUAAAUAAUUUCUGAAGUAAAAAUGUGAUACUACUUUAAAAUAUGGGCCAAAUGGAAUGAAUGUAUAUGGUGCAGUGAGUU
Molecule: small nuclear RNA, 304 nt
Filed under: Carlito syrichta (Philippine tarsier)
Lineage: Eukaryota; Metazoa; Chordata; Mammalia; Primates; Tarsiidae
Description: 7SK RNA (ENSTSYG00000036872.1)
Rfam family: 7SK RNA
About the family: 7SK was discovered as an abundant small nuclear RNA in the mid-70s but a possible function has only recently been suggested. Two independent studies have found that 7SK RNA binds the CDK9/cyclin T complex (known as elongation factor P-TEFb).
Source: RNAcentral